This 428-nucleotide ribosomal RNA is filed under the name Chloroflexota bacterium. RNAcentral's name for it is "Chloroflexi bacterium partial 16S ribosomal RNA". It matches the Rfam family "Bacterial small subunit ribosomal RNA", at positions 355 to 776 of the family's 1533-position model. The record is from RNAcentral. Lineage: Bacteria; Bacillati; Chloroflexota.
UGGGGAAUAUUGCACAAUGGGCGCAAGCCUGAUGCAGCCAUGCCGCGUGUAUGAAGAAGGCUUCGGGUUGUAAAGUACUUUCAGCGGGGAGGAAGGGAGUAAAGUUAAUACCUUUGCUCAUUGACGUUACCCGCAGAAGAAGCACCGGCUAACUCCGUGCCAGCAGCCGCGGUAAUACGGAGGGUGCAAGCGUUAAUCGGAAUUACUGGGCGUAAAGCGCACGCAGGCGGUUUGUUAAGUCAGAUGUGAAAUCCCCGGGCUCAACCUGGGAACUGCAUCUGAUACUGGCAAGCUUGAGUCUCGUAGAGGGGGGUAGAAUUCCAGGUGUAGCGGUGAAAUGCGUAGAGAUCUGGAGGAAUACCGGUGGCGAAGGCGGCCCCCUGGACGAAGACUGACGCUCAGGUGCGAAAGCGUGGGGAGCAAACAGG